Molecule: transfer RNA, 85 nt
Filed under: Candidatus Yanofskybacteria bacterium RIFCSPHIGHO2_01_FULL_45_42
Lineage: Bacteria; Candidatus Yanofskyibacteriota
Also listed under: 3 other names
Description: tRNA-Leu
Rfam family: tRNA
About the family: Transfer RNA (tRNA) molecules are approximately 80 nucleotides in length. Their secondary structure includes four short double-helical elements and three loops (D, anti-codon, and T loops).
Source: RNAcentral
GCGGACGUGGUGGAACUGGUAUACACGUACGUUCGAGGGGCGUAUGCCGUAAGGCUUGAGGGUUCAAAUCCCUCCGUCCGCACCA